This is a non-coding RNA of Malus domestica (apple), 6878 nucleotides long. NCBI's taxonomy places the organism in Eukaryota, Viridiplantae, Streptophyta, Magnoliopsida, Rosales, Rosaceae. The record is from RefSeq and is a predicted model, not a curated record.
CUCUUACCAGUCUCUCACCUUCUACACUCUCCAUCUCUCUCAGCCAAACACCACAAAAGCACCACCACCACCCCUAGAGCCACCAUAAGCCACUAAAAAUUACCUAACUCGUUGCUACCUCUUGGCCCUGUCGAGCUUCGAGGAAAACAUAAGUUUUUGUUUCGUAUCUCGACAAAAUCCUGGACCAAAUCACUUCCGUCUUGGCUCUCAAAUGAAACCCGGACAAAUCUCUUUGGUUUGGUCAAGUUUGAAGGUGUGGGAUGACUCCACACAACCUCUAGGCCAUGGGUUGAGCGUGCAUGCUCAAAUCCACUUCGAAUCCGACGAAAUCCAAGAACUUCAACUCAGACCGUGACUUUCCCACUAAUUUUUGGAUUUAGUGGCAGCGCUCUUAUGUUGACGAGGAUUCCUGGCAAAAGUUGAUUUCGGAGACUACUUCUGAUGGAUUUAGUGGCAGUGUUCUUAUGUCAACGAGGAUUCCUGGUAAAAGUUGAUCUCGGAGACUACUUUUGAUGGUAUAUUUCUCAUUCUAAUUUUACUGUACUUUACUUACGUUUUGACAUCACGUGUGAAUUGGAUCAAUUCUUCUCACAUGCGCACUCUUUCAUUUAGUCACUUUUAGGUUUAAAUUUAUUCACAAUUUUUCAUAUCACUACACUUUAUGGCUUCAUCACCCUUCUAGUGUCGACCAACACAACUCGAUUCGGAGUCCAGGUGGACCUUCUGGGUUAGGGUGUUAUAUAUAUAUAUAUAUAUAUAUAUAUAUAUGUACACACACACACACACACAUAAUCCCGGGUACAUUCUUCAUGUUGUCACCAAGAAAAUAGCAAAAAGCUUUUGUGAGCGUAAAACCUAAUUGCACUAGAAAACUGGGAGAAUUCUUAUUGAAUUGAAUAACACUUGUGACUAUUAAAUAGCCUUACAACAAAAUCAGAAAGGAAAUAACAACCCACGAUUUACAAGGCCUAAGAUCGUGGUGCAUGACUAGGUCAGAAACAGAAAAUGUAAUCUUGUCCCUCAAGUAUAGGAGAGAUUAUUUGCAUGGAUAAAACUAAACCCUAAAAACAAGGAACCCUAACCCUAACAGCUAGGAGAUUCCAACAACUUUAACAUCCUCCCUUAAAUUGAAUGUUAUGGACAAUCAGUUUAUUCCAGGGUAUUCACAAACACCCAUUGCUUCUCGCAUCUUUGAAAAAAUUUCGAACUUCAACGGUUUAGUCAUAAUAUAUGCAAUUUGCUCCUGGGUAGAACACUGUUUUAGCUCCACUACUUCAUCAUUGACCAGAUUUCGAAGAAAAUGAAAACGAACGUUUAUGUGCUUGCUACAACCAUACAUUACUGGAUUCUUUGAGAGUUUGAUGGUUGAAAUGUUGUCACAGUACACCACCGUAGAUUCAGAUUGCACAUGACUUAAACUUUUCAAAAUUCUCCUUAACCAAACAACUUGACAAGCACUUGAUGCUAUAGCAAUAAACUCAGCUUCGGUGGUAGAAAGAGUAACCAUUGGCUGUUUCUUUGAAGACCAAGAUACUGCACUUGAAUUCAUCAUAAAGACAUAGCCUGACGUACUUUUUCUGUCAUCCUGAUCUCCGGCAUAGUCACUGUCCGUGUAACAAAAAAACUUUUCAUCUCCUCUAGUCCUAUAAAACACCCUAAAACUAGAUGUUCCAUUCACAUACCUUAGAAUGCUCUUUGAUGCCAUUAAAUGAGAUUUAGUGGGACGUUCCAUGUACCUACUGAUUAGACUUACAACAAACAUCAAAUCAGGGCGUGUGGCUGUCAGAUACAUGAGACUUCCCACCAUUUUCUUGUAAAGAAUACCAUCAACUAUCACUCAUUCUUCAUUCCCUUGUGAGUUUGAAACUAGGAACCAUUGGAUUUUGCACCGAGUUGCACUGAUCCAUGUUGAAUCUUUCCAGAACCUCUUAAGCGUACUUUCAUUGGCUUAUAAAGAUUCCAUCUUCCUUUUGCAACACUUCAAUUCCCAGAAAGUAUCUCAUUUUUCCAAGAUCAGUCAUGUUGAAUUCAACCAUCAUGGACUUCUUAAAUUGUUCAAUCGCAACUUCAUUAUUCCCAGUAAAUAUAAGAUCAUCAACAUACAGAUAAACAAUCAAUAUUUUACCUCCACUUGCUGUUUUAGUGAACAAAGUAUAUUCGUAGGGGCAUUUGUUGAAGCCUUCUUUGACAAAAUAUGAUUCUAUGCGACUGUACCAAGCUCGAGGAGCUUGUUUGGGUCCAUACAACGCUUUCUUGAGUCGAUAAACUUUUGAUUCUUCCCCUUUCUGUUCAUAACUUGGAGGUUGAUCAAUAAACACUUCUUCAUUAAUUUCUCCAUGCAAAAAGGCCGAUUUGACGUCAAGUUUCAACCAACUUUUCUGUGCAGCAAGAGAGAACACCAUAUGAAUUGUGUCCAAGCGAGCCACUGGUGCAAAUACUUCUGCAUGAUCGACUCCAUAUUGUUGGUUGUAUCCCUUAGCAACUAGCCGCACCUUAUAAUUGUCUAUUUCCCCAUGCUGAUUAAGUUUUGUUUUAAAAAUUCACUUCACUCCAACAUUCAUUCAUCUUGAUGGCAGAUUUGUUAGUUCCCAUGUCUCAUUCCUCUCUAUUGCUUCAAUUUCUUGAUAUAUCUCAAUUUUUCACUUUUCAUUGCCUCUUCAUAUGUCAUUGGAUCACAAUUAGUGAACAAAGCUAGCUGAGCUAUAUUCACACCUUCUUCAUCGGAGAGACCUUGACCAGUUUCAUAGUCUCUCAUCUAUGCAAGGGGUCUUCGUGUUCGUCGUUCUGGAAGUGAGUCGUCGACAUUUAAAGUGUCUCACUUGAAAAAAUUGUUGUUGUCGGACCCAUUUUCCUCUAGUUCUUCAACUGCCUCAGACUCAUCUUCAUUGUUUUCCUCUUCUAUACUUGCUUCUUCAUCGAGUUCCCAUUCUAAAUCAGCCAAUAUGGCUUGCUUGUGGUCAUCAUCCCAACUCCACUCUUGGUCUUCUUCAAAGACCACAUCUCUACUAAUAAUUAUCUUUUUUGAGAUAGGAUCAAAUAGCCUAUAAGCUUUAGAUUCUUCACUUACCCCUAGAAAUACACAUUUGAGACUUUUGGCAUUAAGCUUCACUCUCUUGUGGUCAGGUACAUGGACAUGCGAUAUACAACCAAAGACUCUGAAAUGCUCCACUGAUGGUUUAAGUCCAUUCCAUGCCUUUUCAGGUGUCUUGCUCUUCACGGCAAGAGUUGGACUCAUGUUCAGCACAUGCAUCAUCCAAUUCACGGCUUCAGGCCAAAAGGUUUUAGGAAUUCACUUAUCCGACAACAUACUUCGUACCAUAUUCAUAAUGGUUCGAUUUUCCUCUUGGAGACACCAUUUUACUAGGGAGUGUAUGUAGCAGUCAAUUGUCUGUGUAUCUCAUUCUCAUUCUCAUUACCAACUGAAGACUUUUGGAAGCCCUCCAUAAGAUUUCCUUUAGGAAUGGAUCACAGUGCUGUCUUCUUACUAGACAGCCUUCACAUACUCGUUGAAUGGCUUUGAACUUUGGUAACCCUUCCACCAUUUUCUUUUGCUAGAGUACUUUGAGUCCAUUCCAGAUGAGGUAUCCAUAUCGACGAUGCCAAAGAGUGGCCUGAUCCGUGGUCAGAGAGGAGAAACACUUAGUCUCUCUUCGUGGUGGGCAGUGGGCGAGCACAAUAAACAUUCUAUUCUAAGUCAUCUCAGUUUCAAUGAUUAGACCCUUCUCAGGAUGAAAGAUCUUACAUUUUCCUUGUUGAAUAAGCACAACGAGUCCCUUUUCUUGCAGCUGCCCGAUGCUUAACAGAUUUUUCUUCAGUUUUGGUACAAAGAAAACACUCGUGAUCUCGUGAACUAUUCCAUUCAUCUUUACUCGAGUUGUGCCUUUGCCUUGUACAAUAAGACUCGAAUCAUUUCCCAUCUUCACUGAUUCUUUGAAACUGCUAUCAAAGUCAAUAAAUAUAUACUUCUUGCCACACAUAUGGUUGCUGCACCUAGAAUCAAGGAACCAAAUGUGCUCAGUUUCAGCUUCCUUGAAAUCAACAUGCACCAUUAAUAACAUCUAUUCUUUUGUCUCUGCAUAGUUUGCUUGUUGAUCUCUUGCUUUCUUUGGGCAUUCCCACUGAAAAUGCUCGAGCUCAUGACAAUUAUAACACUUUAGGGUUGAUUUAUUAAACCCAAAUCAACCCCUUCCUCAUCCUCUUCCAUGAUGGGUACUUCGACCUCCUGAAGUGACUUGCAGCGCUUGUUCUUCCACUACAAUAUGGCGGCUAAUUCUUUGUUCAUGCACCAAAAGACUACUUUGAAGCUCAUCAAUGGACAAAGUAUCCAAGUCAUUUGAUUCCUCAAUAUAACAUACAACAUAGUCAUAUUUCAUAAUCAUAGACCUCAAGAUCUUCUCAAUGAUCACCACAUCCUCUAUAUGCUCUCCAUGAAUCCUCAUCUUAUUAGCAAUGAUAAGAGUUCUUCCAAAAUAGUCGUUGAUCGACUCUCCAACCUUCAUGUGCAGCACUUGAAAUUCUUUUCGAAUAGCCUACAAUUGGGCAUGUUUUACACAUGUUGUUCCUUGAUAUUUCUGCUUCAACAAAUCCCAGAUAUCUUUCGCAGUGUCCUUCUUCAAAUCGAACAAUCAAUGGCUUGAAACAAGUAGUUCUUGCACUUCAAGUCUUUCAACUUCUGAUCUUUAAUCACUUUCUUCUAUGCUUCGCUUGAAUCGGCUCUUUCUGCUGCUGUAGUGAUUCCCGUCUCCACCAAGUUCCAAUACUCUUUGGAACGUAGAAAAUUUUCCAUUAGCAUACUCCAGUGAUCAUAGUGUCCAUCAAACUUCGGAAUGGCAGGUUGCACGAAACUACUUUCAGACGUCAUCUCGUUGUUCCUUCACACUAGUUACUUUGUUGCAGGCUUUGAUCAGCCCCAGUGGUGGGGCUCUAAUACCAGAUGUUGUAACCAAGAAAAUAGCAGAAAGCUUUUGUGAACGUAAAACCUGAUUGCACUAGAAAAGUGGGAGAAUUCUUAUUAAAUUGAAUAACACUUGUGGCUGUUAAAUAGCCUUACAACAAAAUCAGAAAGGAAAUAACAACCCAUGAUUUACAAGGCCUAAGAUCGUGGUGCAUGACUAGGUCAGAAACAAAAAAUGUAAUCUUGUACCUCAAGUAUAAGAGAGAUUAUUUGCAUGGAUAAAACUAAGCUCUAAAAACAAGGAACCCUAACCCUAACGGCUAGGAGAUUCCAACAACUUUAACACUUCAAAACCACCAAAAAAAAAAAGAAAAAAGAAAAAAAAAGAAAAAAAAAGAAAGAUAGUAAGCUUAAUAACAUUAGGAAAUUUCUCCCAUUAAAUUUGACAUGGAUGCAUUCUCAUAUCUACUAAAAAGAAUGUUCCCAUAUAAGUUUAAAAUGGUUAGAAAAAAAUCGAAUGGAUCUUAUUUACAAAUGGGUACAUUUAUAUUAAAAAUUGAUACAUUUUACAUAUAACAAAUUGGUAUAUUUAAAAACAGAUACAUUUAAGAUUAAAAAAUUGAAAAAUUAUAUGAAUGAGUACAACUACAAAUAGGUGGUGUAGUCGAUAGAGGGAUAAUUUGGAGUUUUAAAACUACAAAUAGGUGUAGUUUAGGAAUUGAAUAAAUUCAUUAAAGUGAAAUGCUUCUUAAAAAAAACACUUCAAGUGCUUCUACUUUCAGCUGAAAACGCUUUUGAAAAUUUUGUAAACAGCAAUUUUUAAAUUUAAAGUUAUAAAGUGUUUUUAAUCUUCCAAAGGAACCUUCAAAUGAGUUAUUUAAAACCCAUAAACAUUUCUAGUUGAAUCUGUCAAACGCUGAGCUUUUACCCUUUUAAAAAUAAUGUCAAACAUGUCCCAGGCUUAACUGAUUAAUCAACUCAGUAACGAUCAACUGAUUAAUCAACUCGGUUAUUGAAUCCACGAUGUCACCGCUUAUCUCUGUCCAGUGUGAAUUCAAGAGCCACUAAACUAAUGUGUUGCACUUGCACAUAGGCAGGCUAUGCAAAAGCUAAUCAUAUACACAGCAGCUUCUGGUUGUCAUCUUAAUUUGGACUGAUACGGCUGUGCAACAAGGAAUUUAAAUUACAUUUUUUUUAACAAACGAUAUUAUCUGUCUUAAGAGAAUGGGAAAAUGUGCUAAGUCUCACACUGGAUUAGUCAUAAUAAUGUAGUUCAAAUUGAUGUACUUUGUAAUCAUAUUAGAGGCAAGUCAUCUUAACAAUUUAUAACAUGAAAAAUGUUUAGUCUAGUCUCGUAUAUGGCAGUGUGACUAAUUCACGUUAUAUUUACUGUUAGAAAUCAACUCGUAUGACCAAUCGAGCACCCAUCGUUUAACAUUUGUGGCACAUAUCGCGAUCUCAAGUUGAAUUAGUGCACAAUUAACAUGAUCUUUUAGCUCAUGACUCAAGCUUAAGACUUGAGUAAAUUGUGUUUGACUUGACGACAGGCUUGGUUCUUGAGUUGAAAAAUGAGAAGACUCCCAUGACAUGUUGAUAGAUCAAACUCACGAUGACAACACAACUAUUGAUACAUAUCUUGUGAAAAUAUACAAUGUCAAUUUCAUCACAUCUUUGGAAAUAUUUUCUUUGCACUGAAUUUGUGCACUACAAUAUUCCACCUCCAAAUUGUGGUAGCAAGUCAAAAUCAACCCAAAUUUUUUCCAUACUUUGGUCUCAUAUAUAUAAUAUAUUAUUUUUCACUAUAUAAGAGUAAAGUUAGGGAUAACACAUUUUUGUACCACAUUUGACAAAUAAGGCAUUUAUAUAACAAACAUCUAAUAAGAUAAACUCAUACAGUGAAAUAACACAUAUACAUCACAUGUCAUACCAGAUAGUACAACAGUGCAUACAAAUUUGUGGUUGCUAUAGUUUUUUUUUUUUUUUU